Molecule: ribosomal RNA, 253 nt
Filed under: uncultured bacterium
Lineage: Bacteria
Description: partial 16S ribosomal RNA
Rfam family: Bacterial small subunit ribosomal RNA
Source: RNAcentral
UACGUAGGUGGCAAGCGUUGUCCGGAUUUACUGGGCGUAAAGCGCGUGUAGGCGGCUUUGCAAGUCGGAUGUGAAAGCCCACGGCUCAACCGUGGAAGUGCAUCCGAAACUGCAUGGCUUGAGUCUCGGAGAGGAAGGUGGAAUGCUUGGUGUAGAGGUGAAAUUCGUAGAUAUCAAGCAGAACACCUGCGGCGAAGGCGGCCUUCUGGACGAUGACUGACGCUGAGACGCGAAAGCGUGGGGAGCAAACAGG